AGAAAUUCGGAUUAGAAAGCAGAGGAGGGAAAGUUGUAAAUGUUGGAACCAUUUUGUGUGGCUGGAGCUUUGACCAUUGGCCUCUAUAGAGGAAUGCCCUUGCACAUGUGGACUUCUCAUGUGCAUAAUCGUCAGAUUUUCAUGAAAAAGAGGGCACCCAGUGAGAUGGCAUGCUUCUCAUUGAUGUUGGUCGGAUGCUGCUUAAGUACUUCUACUUGGUUGCAUCCAAUCAACAAUUGUGGGAAUAGCAGUGGAUGGAAGAGAAGCUACUUGGAAUUUAGGAUGAAUCUGCAACUGCUAACAAUAGUUUACUCGGUUUAUCCUUAAUUCUAGGACUUGGAACAAAAAAAUCAAAGCGAUCCACAGCUUGGGUGGACCACACCACAGGGAACAAUGGAGAUGGGAUACUAAUCAUCAGUUUGUGUUGGGCUACUAUGGUGUUUAUCUUUCAUCAAAUCCAUUCAUCAAGUGUAACUCACUAGGAUGAAGUAAAGAUACAAAAAUCAACCUGAUAGAAAUAUUGGGUGGGGCACACCAUGUGAGGUUAAUAGGUUUUUGGAGCACUUUUACAUUUUUCACAUUGGUGUAGUGCAUGAGAGUUUUAGCUGGAAGAUCUUUUUUUUUUUGUUUUUUUGUUUUUUUUUUUUUUCGGUUUGUUUAUAGGAUAGAAAUAAUGGUCCUGAUGAACAAAGUGGAUUUAUAUAUGUAAAACAUGGUGGGCCCACAGAGCUGACACACGUAGCUGUGUAGUACGUGUUGCAGACAAUUCCAAUCCGCCCAACCGUCUCUCUCUCUCUCUCUCUCUCUCUCUCUCUGCCUGGCCAUGCUUGCAGCAAUCCCAGCACCAUGUUAAAUAGGAGGAGAUGACAGGGUAGAAAAGGAAAAACUGGAAUAUGAUAGAUCCAUUUCUCCACAGUACACGUGGCAAGGAUAUGUAUCGAUCAGAGCCAUUCAUCUGGUGGACACUAUCAUGAUGGCUCAUGUUUCAGAAAUCACUCCUACUAGACAAUCCUUUCCAUCAAAUUUCUCCAAUUUCCUUGUUGAGCUUUUGACCAUUAAUCGCUUUGACGAAUGUUUGGACAUUAACUUCCUUUCUUCUAACAGCCACUGGGGAUAUAUUGAUUUGAGAAUAGAUAAAUACACCUUGAAAGGGGAGGGCAUCAACCUACCCCUUAAAAGGAUAUGUACGUUCCGCCCUCAACAUUCUUCAUAUCACACCUUUUUAAGCCAUUCUUUUGCAUAUUUGUAUAAUUAGAAAAAAAAUACUUGUACUGUGUCAUGCUACAUGUAACAAUACUGAACUGUGCAUAUUGCUAUUUCUAGUAGCUAAUUUUGAAAGUGGAACUAGCGGUAACCAA
Magnolia sinica is the source of this 1358-nucleotide RNA transcript. RefSeq lists it as uncharacterized. Lineage: Eukaryota; Viridiplantae; Streptophyta; Magnoliopsida; Magnoliales; Magnoliaceae. The record is from RefSeq and is a predicted model, not a curated record. The transcript is spliced from 3 exons.